CCCUUAGAUGUUCUGGGCCGCACGCGCGCUACACUGACAAAGUCAACAAGUUUUACCUUGACCGAAAGGUUUGGGCAAUCUUUGAAACUUUGUCGUGCUGGGACUUGACGAUUGCAAUUAUUUGUCACAAACGAGGAAUUCCUAGUAAGCGCAAGUCAUCAACUUGCAUUGAUUACGUCCCUGCCCUUUGUACACACCGCCCGUCGCUUCUACCGAGUGAAUGUUCCGGUGAACACUUUGGAUCUAGCGUUCUUUGGGGAAACUCAGGGUAAUGAUUAGAGAAGCUGUGUAAACCAUAACAUUUCGAGGAAGGAGAAGUCGUAACA
Molecule: ribosomal RNA, 326 nt
Filed under: uncultured eukaryote
Lineage: Eukaryota
Description: partial 18S ribosomal RNA
Rfam family: Eukaryotic small subunit ribosomal RNA
Source: RNAcentral